Molecule: long non-coding RNA, 3301 nt
Filed under: Homo sapiens (human)
Lineage: Eukaryota; Metazoa; Chordata; Mammalia; Primates; Hominidae
Description: HSALNT0203905
Source: RNAcentral
AAUUUAAAACUUUGAGUACUGACAUGCCUGAUACCCAAAUAAAAUGCUCACUGGAGCAUUUUGGAUUUCAGAUUUGGGAUGCUCAACUGGUAAUGCAAAUAUUCCCAAACCUGAAAAAACCCGAAAUCAGAAACACUUCUGGUCCCAACCAUUUUGGAUAAGAUGUAUUUCAUAAAUUAGUAUUUCUUUUCAUAGAACUAGCAGUAAUGUAACAAUAAUAGCAUGAUGUGAUAGAGCUUGGGCUUUAAACCCAGAAAGCUGUGAAUUCACAUCUCAGGAUUUUUUUUUCUGAAGCUAAACUACAGCUGGAAUCUAGUGCAAAUAAUUUCUUUAAACAGCCAAAAUGGGAUUAAUAAUGCUUUACUCUCAGAGUUGCCAGGAGGAUUAAAUAAAAUGCCUAAUUUCACUGGCUGCCUUUUAGGAGGUGUUGAGUAAAUGUCCUCUCCUUUGCUCUCUCUUGAAUAGUUUAUUGUGGGAUAAAGCACUUUUGUAUAUACCUUCUCAUUUGAUUUUGAUUUGGAAUAAUUUCUAAUAAAUUGAGAUUUUAAAAGGUAUGUGGCUGACUCAAGGCCACCCAAGCAAAAACAAGGCAGAACCAAGGCUUGAAUUCAAAGCUUCUGGUUUCCAUCCCAGCACUCUAUGCACUAUCGGCAGUUUUCAGGAAAAUGAGCCGCAGUGUUCCAUCAUACAGCCAAUAGCAGAAACACGUGAUGAUGUAUAGGUAGAAUACAGUGACACAGUGGGCAGGGAGAUAUAUUGGGCUGAAAAUCUGAAAAACAAUACAAAUUACUAAACAUUCUGAAUGAAAAGUGAAUAAAGGGAGCAUUGCAUAUAUUUUAUCAAAUAAGCUUAUUGAGGUUGGGUGCGGUGGCUCACACCUGUAAUCCUAGCUGAGGCAGGUAGAUCGCUUCAGCUCAGGAGUUUGAGACCAGCCUGGCCAACAUGGUGAAACCCUGUUUCAAUUACAAAAAUUAGCUGGGCAUGGUGGCUCGUGCCUGUACUCCCAGCUACUUGGGGCUGAGGUGGGAGGAUCACUUGAGCCCAAAAGGCAGAGGUUGCUGCGAGCCGAGAUAACGCCACUGCACUCCAGCUGGGGCGACAGAGUGAGACCCUUUCUUAAAAAAAAAAAAAAAAACCCAAAAAACUCAAAAAACCAAAAACCAAAACCAAAUAAGCUUAUUGAUAAAAUAGGGAGAUUUUAGGCCUAAACAGUCUAGCCAUAAUACUAAGAAAAAUGGCUUUUCCUAGGCUUGAAAAUAUAACGGAAAAACAAUUUCUUUCCAGGAAGAUUCACUGACAUCUACCACUGUGAUUCUGCUUUCUGUCUCCUGCCUUGGAUGUUACAUGCAGUGUUUGAAGGAUGGUCCUUGUGUGUAGGAUGCUUGAGCUAAAAAUGCCUGCCAAAGCCACUCCUUCCUGUGCUUUGUCAUAAUUUAUUGCUAAGAUGUUUAUGUUCUCUGGUUUUGAGGUGCUAGAGAUCCUGACUAAAAGUGACUUCCUCAUAAAUGAAGAUAAGUUGAAGUCAUUGUGAGUAUUCACUACACAGCUUUGUUGAUUUUAUCCCUUUCAUAACUUGAGAUGGCUUUUUUAGCCAAGCCAUCUCAAUAGUUUGUUUCUUUUCCUCUACGAUUUACAAACUGAGCUGACCAGUUUGCCAGCAAAGUUAACUGACGCAAGAUGGUAUUCUUCGCAGCUAUUAAGUGUCCAUAAAGUCUCUUAUCUGUGUGGCAUUCUCAAGGUUAGUUUCAUUCCUGUGGCCUGUGAAUUUAAGUCAAAUAUACUGACAGUGUCAAGUCAAAUAUACUGACAGUGUCCUCACUGCAUUCUCCCCUCCAGUUUUCUUGUAACAGCUUUAGUCUCUCUACGUACUUUGUGUUUUCUGGAAACAUUUUCAGUCAAUCCUAAGCUUGAACACUCAUACUUACUGUUCUUUGAUCAUAUUCUAGAUUUUCCUACUUAGGUAUUUCUCAUGCCUUUCUCCACAUCUCUGCUCCUUGAAAUGCUACUUAUUCUUCAAAAGGCAGCUUAAAUGGCCUCUUAGCUACACUCCCAACGACAAAACAAUAAUGAUUUUUCCUAAAUCCUGAAGCAUUUGGCUUGGAUAUUUUUAUGAAACUUAUUAGAACAUUCUGUAAAAUAGUUACCUGUGCUCAGAUCUGAUCUUUAUUUUUUAAGUUCCUUCAAGGCAAAGAUUGUUUUAAAUUUCUCAUAAAUGCUUAACACAAAUGUCAUUAAAUUUGUCAGUAAUUCUAUAUUGACAAAUUAAGUUCUAUAUUUCCCACAGUUGGAAUUUAGAACAAAAUGUGAUUAAAACUUUUGCUAGUCUUGGCCAGGCGCGGUGGCUCACGCCUGUAAUACCGGAAUUUUGGGAGGCCGGAGGCGAGCGGAUCACCUGAGGUCAGGAGUUCAAGACCAGCCUGGUGAAACCCCAUCCCUACUAAAAAUACAAAAAUUAGCUGGGUGAGGUGGCACACGCCUGUAGUCCCAGCUCCUUGGGAGGCUGAGGCAGGAGAAUCGCUUGAACCUGGGAGGUGGAGGUUGCAGUGAGCCAAGAUGGUGCCACUGCACUCCAGUGUGGGCAGCAGAGUGAGACUGUCUCAAAUACAACAACAACAACAAAAGUUUUGCUAAUCUGAUGUAUGAUGAGUCAACAAUCAAUAAUUUGGCAAUUUCAUGACUCGAGUGUCAAAAAGAUGUACCUAAACACACCGUUGUCUAUAGAAAAUGAAUAAAAAAUUAGUGAUUUUAUUACUUUAUAUGAACUUCAAAAAGGGGCUGGGUGCAAUGGCUCACGCCUGUAAUCCUAGCACUUUGGGAGGCCAAAGCAGUGGGGAUUGCUUGAGUCUAGGAGUUUGAGACCAGCCUCGGCAACAUGGCAAAACCCCAUCUCUACAAAAAUUACAAAAUUAGCUGGGCAUGGUGCUGGUGCAUGCCUGUAGUCCCAACUACUCAGGGGGCUGAGGCUGGAGGAUCGCUUGAGCCCAGUUGGAGGCUGCAGUGAGCUGAGAUCACGCCGCUGUACUCCAGCCUGGGUGACAGUGUAAGACCCUGUCUCAUAAAUAAAUAAAUAAAGUUAAAAAUGCUGCUAGUUAAAAUAGAAGUUAAUUUCCUAAAUGCUUUCUUCUGUCUUUGGUAUGAAUAUAUUUACCUACGAAUAUAUAUAUAUAUAUUUAUGAUCUUCUGCUUAGGGUUUAAGAUUCCAACAUUGCACUUCAUUACUAUUCUUAUUUUCUCUAACAGUUUUGAAAAUUAUGAAUGUGUUGUGUUAGUAAAUUUCUUUCUGAGGAAAACUGGACUUUUA